CUACGGGUGGCUCCAGUAGGGAAUAUUGGACAAUGGGCGAAAGCCUGAUCCAGCAACGCCGCGUGCGCGAUGACGGCCUUCGGGUUGUAAAGCGCUUUUAGAGGAGAUGAGAAAGGACAGUAUCCUCUGAAUAAGCCUCGGCGAACUACGUGCCAGCAGCCGCGGUAAAACGUAGGAGGCUAGCGUUAUCCGGAUUUAUUGGGCGUAAAGCGCGUGCAGGCGGUCUAGCAAGUUGGAUGUGAAAGCUCCUGGCUUAACUGGGAGAGGUCGUUCAAUACUGCUAGACUAGAGAAUGGGAGAGGGAGGUGGAAUUCCGGGUGUAGUGGUGAAAUGCGUAGAUAUCCGGAGGAACACCAGUGGCGAAAGCGGCCUCCUGGACCACUUCUGACGCUAAGACGCGAAAGCUAGGGUAGCAAACGGGAUUAGAUACCCCAGUAGUC
This 440-nucleotide ribosomal RNA is filed under the name uncultured bacterium. RNAcentral describes it as "partial 16S ribosomal RNA". It matches the Rfam family "Bacterial small subunit ribosomal RNA", at positions 339 to 795 of the family's 1533-position model. The record is from RNAcentral.